Neltuma alba is the source of this 488-nucleotide long non-coding RNA. RefSeq lists it as uncharacterized. The transcript has 3 exons. NCBI's taxonomy places the organism in Eukaryota, Viridiplantae, Streptophyta, Magnoliopsida, Fabales, Fabaceae. The record is from RefSeq and is a predicted model, not a curated record.
UAUGCCUGUCACUCUCACUCUUCCGAAGUUAAUCAUAGUGAAACAGUGCAACACGUCGAAACUCUGAAAUAGGAAGUGAGGAAGAUGCUUGUUCCUACCCAUGAGAAGCCCUCAAUCUCAAAAGUUGAAUUGAUUGAUUCAAUUCAACGCCUGGGUCUGAGAUAUCAUUUUGAAAGUGAAAUUGCAGAAAUGUUGCAACAAACUCACAAGCACUACGUUCAAAAUGGCCAAUUAAUUCAUGACUCAGAUCUAUGCUCUCUUGCUUUGCUUUUCAGAUUAUUGAGGCAAGAUGGAUAUCUCAUUUCACCUGAUGUAUUUAGUAAGUUCAAAGAUGGAGAAGGAAAGUUUAGUGAAAGAGUUAGCAACGAUAUGGAAGGAAUGCUGAAUUUAUACGAAGCUGCUCAUCUGAGUAUUCAUGGAGAAGAAAUCUUAGAUGAAGCAAUGGCUUUCACUUCCACUCAACUUCAGGCCAUCAUUAGGACUAUUGA